This 515-nucleotide ribosomal RNA is filed under the name uncultured bacterium. RNAcentral's name for it is "partial 16S ribosomal RNA". It matches the Rfam family "Bacterial small subunit ribosomal RNA", at positions 28 to 523 of the family's 1533-position model. The record is from RNAcentral.
GAUGAACGCUGGCGGCGUGCCUAAUACAUGCAAGUCGAGCGAAUGGAUUAAGAGCUUGCUCUUAUGAAGUUAGCGGCGGACGGGUGAGUAACACGUGGGUAACCUGCCCAUAAGACUGGGAUAACUCCGGGAAACCGGGGCUAAUACCGGAUAACAUUUUGAACCGCAUGGUUCGAAAUUGAAAGGCGGCUUCGGCUGUCACUUAUGGAUGGACCCGCGUCGCAUUAGCUAGUUGGUGAGGUAACGGCUCACCAAGGCAACGAUGCGUAGCCCACCUGGGAGGGUGAUAGGCCACACUGGGACUGGGACACGGCCCAGACUCCUACUGGAGGCAGCAGUAGGGAAUCUUCCGCAAUGGACGAAAGUCUGACGGAGCAACGCCGCGUGAGUGAUGAAGGCUUUCGGGUCGUAAAACUCUGUUGUUAGGGAAGAACAAGUGCUAGUUGAAUAAGCUGGCACCUUGACGGUACCUAACCAGAAAGCCACGGCUAACUACGUGCCAGCCGCCGCAGUAA